Molecule: ribosomal RNA, 256 nt
Filed under: uncultured bacterium
Lineage: Bacteria
Description: partial 16S ribosomal RNA
Rfam family: Bacterial small subunit ribosomal RNA
Source: RNAcentral
UACGUAGGGGGCUAGCGUUGUCCGGAAUCAUUGGGCGUAAAGCGCGCGUAGGCGGCCCGGUAAGUCCGUUGUGAAAGUCAAAGGCUCAACCUUUGAAAGCCGAUGGAUACUGCCGGGCUGGAGUCCGGAAGAGGCGAGUGGAAUUCCUGGUGUAGCGGUGGAAUGCGUAGAGAUCCGGAAGAACACCGGUGGCGAAGGCGGCCUGACUGGGCAGUUGCUGACGACUGAGGCGCGACAGCGUGGGGAGCAAACAGGG